Molecule: ribosomal RNA, 1446 nt
Filed under: Klebsiella pneumoniae subsp. pneumoniae
Lineage: Bacteria; Pseudomonadati; Pseudomonadota; Gammaproteobacteria; Enterobacterales; Enterobacteriaceae
Description: bacterial SSU rRNA
Rfam family: Bacterial small subunit ribosomal RNA
Source: RNAcentral
CUAACACAUGCAAGUCGAGCGGUAGCACAGAGAGCUUGCUCUCGGGUGACGAGCGGCGGACGGGUGAGUAAUGUCUGGGAAACUGCCUGAUGGAGGGGGAUAACUACUGGAAACGGUAGCUAAUACCGCAUAACGUCGCAAGACCAAAGUGGGGGACCUUCGGGCCUCAUGCCAUCAGAUGUGCCCAGAUGGGAUUAGCUAGUAGGUGGGGUAACGGCUCACCUAGGCGACGAUCCCUAGCUGGUCUGAGAGGAUGACCAGCCACACUGGAACUGAGACACGGUCCAGACUCCUACGGGAGGCAGCAGUGGGGAAUAUUGCACAAUGGGCGCAAGCCUGAUGCAGCCAUGCCGCGUGUGUGAAGAAGGCCUUCGGGUUGUAAAGCACUUUCAGCGGGGAGGAAGGCGGUGAGGUUAAUAACCUUGUCGAUUGACGUUACCCGCAGAAGAAGCACCGGCUAACUCCGUGCCAGCAGCCGCGGUAAUACGGAGGGUGCAAGCGUUAAUCGGAAUUACUGGGCGUAAAGCGCACGCAGGCGGUCUGUCAAGUCGGAUGUGAAAUCCCCGGGCUCAACCUGGGAACUGCAUUCGAAACUGGCAGGCUAGAGUCUUGUAGAGGGGGGUAGAAUUCCAGGUGUAGCGGUGAAAUGCGUAGAGAUCUGGAGGAAUACCGGUGGCGAAGGCGGCCCCCUGGACAAAGACUGACGCUCAGGUGCGAAAGCGUGGGGAGCAAACAGGAUUAGAUACCCUGGUAGUCCACGCUGUAAACGAUGUCGAUUUGGAGGUUGUGCCCUUGAGGCGUGGCUUCCGGAGCUAACGCGUUAAAUCGACCGCCUGGGGAGUACGGCCGCAAGGUUAAAACUCAAAUGAAUUGACGGGGGCCCGCACAAGCGGUGGAGCAUGUGGUUUAAUUCGAUGCAACGCGAAGAACCUUACCUGGUCUUGACAUCCACAGAACUUUCCAGAGAUGGAUUGGUGCCUUCGGGAACUGUGAGACAGUGCUGCAUGGCUGUCGUCAGCUCGUGUUGUGAAAUGUUGGGUAAGUCCCGCACGAGCGCAACCUUAUCCUUUGUUGCCAGCGGUUAGGCCGGGAACUCAAAGGAGACUGCCAGUGAUAAACUGGAGGAAGGUGGGGAUGACGUCAAGUCAUCAUGGCCCUUACGACCAGGGCUACACACGUGCUACAAUGGCAUAUACAAAGAGAAGCGACCUCGCGAGAGCAAGCGGACCUCAUAAAGUAUGUCGUAGUCCGGAUUGGAGUCUGCAACUCGACUCCAUGAAGUCGGAAUCGCUAGUAAUCGUAGAUCAGAAUGCUACGGUGAAUACGUUCCCGGGCCUUGUACACACCGCCCGUCACACCAUGGGAGUGGGUUGCAAAAGAAGUAGGUAGCUUAACCUUCGGGAGGGCGCUUACCACUUUGUGAUUCAUGACUGGGGUGAAGUCGUA